GUAGGUUGUCAAAAAAUUGUAAUUUUAACUGAAAAGUGACAUAUAAAUCUAUUGAUAGGGUACAGAACAUAGCUGACAUCCGUAUUGCCGGUCUCGGGUUGUAUUCUCACUGGAUUAAGAAGCCGUGUCACUUUAUUAGCAGAAGCCACACUUGUCAUAUCCUAGUUUAAAUGGUAUGGCUUGUUUAAUAAGCCUUUCAUAUUUCACUUAUACACUUUUAUGCCUAGGAUUUCACUGAUGAAAUUCUCCCAGCAUGUGCGAUCUCGGGGGACAUAGCUAGAAUACUGAGAAAGUUGGCAAUGACUAUUUUCUAUCUUAUAGCAUAGAUUAAAAAUGGUUAGACCUGGAAGAUACCUUGGGGAAAACAUAGCCCAUUUAAUUUAUGAAUUAGGAAAUUGAGACCUAUCAGAGUUGAACAACUUCCUGUGGCCUUCCAGCAAGUUCAUAGUACAGAGAGGCCCGGAACUUGGUGUGGCUAAGAAUAGAUCUGAUCAUCUUGGGCUUGCUUUGAGUGUUCCUCUUGUGACUUGAAAUAAAAUUCAUAGUUGUUACACUGAAAGAAAAUUUUAGACUCUUACUGAAGAAUUAUAUGGUCCCGAAUGUCUGGGAAGUGAAGGAGGAAUCUGACAUUGCAGAGCUCCAGCGAUUAUUUGCUCCCCUUCCCACCCAAGAUCAAGUAGUUUCAGAAGCAGUUCUGUCUCUGACUAAAAUGAUUAUCAGAAGGAGGACAUGGCUAUUGUGUGCCUAACAUAUGGCGCUGCAAAGCAGGAGAUUUCCUUUGCUCUCAGCCAUGUGCUCCUCAAUAACAACUGCGCUCACUUUAUUCAAGGCACACUGAGCACAUUUCCCUGACCCUGACUGCAGUGCACAUCAUGGGAGAAGAAUGUGCAGAGGACUUACAGGCCUUGUCCCCGGCACACGUGGAAGCCCGCUGCCGUUUGGUGGAGAUGCAGGCAGAAGCAUGAGGGGGCCAAAUGGACAAAACUUGCCCAGACGAGAGCCUGGGUGGCCACACCUCCUUUUUUUGUGGCCCACCUUGCCUCGGGAGUUCCGCUGGACUGUCCCGCUGCCCCGAGCUGCUCACGCUCCCUCGUGGGUGAACUCUGGGGUGCAUCCUUCUCUACAGGGUGGUCACCUCCCACCUCUCUCUUUCUGCUCUAGCUCACCCUGCCUGAGUUGUAUCCUGUUCUCUGUGCUCUCUUCUCCAAGGAGAUAAACUGGUAAGAGAAGAACCAUGCAU
Molecule: long non-coding RNA, 1240 nt
Organism: Manis pentadactyla (Chinese pangolin)
Lineage: Eukaryota; Metazoa; Chordata; Mammalia; Pholidota; Manidae
Exons: 3
Source: RefSeq, a predicted model, not a curated record